UGGACUAUCGCCAAGCGGUAAGGCACGGGACUUUGACUCCCGAAUCCCGGGUUCGAAUCCCGGUGGUCUAG
RNAcentral lists this transfer RNA (71 nucleotides) under Caudoviricetes sp. RNAcentral describes it as "tRNA-Gln". It matches the Rfam family "tRNA". Rfam says of the family: Transfer RNA (tRNA) molecules are approximately 80 nucleotides in length. Their secondary structure includes four short double-helical elements and three loops (D, anti-codon, and T loops). The record is from RNAcentral. Lineage: Duplodnaviria; Heunggongvirae; Uroviricota; Caudoviricetes.